Molecule: long non-coding RNA, 1468 nt
Organism: Motacilla alba alba
Lineage: Eukaryota; Metazoa; Chordata; Aves; Passeriformes; Motacillidae
Exons: 4
Source: RefSeq, a predicted model, not a curated record
CAUGCCAUUUUGAUGCAGAAGCAAUGCAUCUUCACCAUCUAUCUUCCAUUUCACCAUCACCACAGAACAAAUGGGGCAAACAUACUAAGAAGCUAAAUGACCAUCCCAAUGUGUAAAGGAGGAGCUUCCUGAGAUGUGACAAAGAGAAGCAGAAUCUACUUACAGCCUACAAUUAGGUUUUGCCAAAAGGACCCUCCAGAAAAGAGGCCCUACCUUGAAAACUUGAGUCUUUCUGAGGACAGCUACAAAAAGAGAGAAAUCAUGGAUGCAAAUCCUCUCAGCUUUGAUGAAGCUCCAUGUGGAAAGCGUGGAGUGCCGAGUGAGUGUGCUGGAAAUUCAUUCAUCCCCUGGAGACAGGUGGGGUUAAUUCUGACUACAACAAACCUGGUGGAGAGAUGGAGAAAGAAGAUAAACACAUAGAAGAAACAGAAGUUGAUAGAUUUCUGCACAGUUAAACCUGACAGGAAAGAAGCUACUGGAGAAAUCAAAGAGGAUGACUCGUGGUACCCAAAUGGAAGAUGAACGUUAAACUCCAUCUAAUCAAGACUCUGCAGAAUAUGUAUUUUGGGGAAGAAAAGAAAGAGAAACUUUUUCUUACCAGGACUCACACAUCUGAGCAGCUCCUAGGUCUGAAACAUUCCUGUGGUGUGGUUUGUGUGGGUCCUGUUGGGUAAUAGGAUCCUCCAGCCAAUAAAGGCAAUGUGCUGCUGGUCCUGGCCCACAACCUUAUCUCUUUGGGUCCAUGGCCUUGCUCUUCCAAGGAAUGAUGCAUCCCUGUGGAUUUCUGGCCAUGUUUGCCCAGUGUCACCAUCAAUGAUACUCCUCAGUCUUCAACUUUCUGGUCUAAGUUGUACAUGCAUUGAGGCUCCUGCAUGUGUGAGUAUUUUAAUUGAGUGUUUAGUGUUGGCUUGGAAGGUCAGGAAAGUUAGUCCCACAGGAUUUGUAUUGAAAGCCUUCAAUUCCUGCAAUUUUCUACAUCUGUCUCAUACUUCUCUGUCUUUCAUUUAUUACACUUCAUUAAUUGUUUUUCUUUUCAUUGGAGGCGUAGGUGAGAAAAAAGCAAGUGAACCACUUCCCACGGAAGCAAAAAGUGUCUCAAAGUUGCCCAAUGAAAUGGAUCACUCCCUGAUUUAGGAAGAGGCUGUGAACACAUCCUGGCAAGUGCUGAGAGUGCUGCAGGGGCCCAGUCUCUCCCAAUUAUUUUGCCUCCCAAGAUCUUGUCUCCUGGCUGGAUCAUGCAAGAAGGAAAAUGCUGAAAAGAGGAGGUGGGUGAGAGGGAUGUAUUUCUUACUUUGUUUCGGAGGCAACUCUAUAAAUCUCCACAUAUUAAGGUCUUCCAUAUGUGGAUUUUCAAUAUCAGCUUGUCACUUCAGGCUGCCUGACAUGAACUGUUGGAUGGGGCUGCUAUCUUCUCCAGGGCUCACUCACAGAUGCCAAAAAAGGUUGAAAAAACCAGUGAAAAAUGCAA